RNAcentral lists this ribosomal RNA (371 nucleotides) under uncultured organism. Its description in RNAcentral is "bacterial SSU rRNA". It matches the Rfam family "Bacterial small subunit ribosomal RNA", at positions 526 to 896 of the family's 1533-position model. The record is from RNAcentral.
CAGAGGUGGCAAGCGUUGUUCGGAAUUACUGGGCGUAAAGGGCGCGUAGGCGGUCUUGUAAGUCUUGUGUGAAAUCCCUCGGCUUAACUGAGGAACUGCACGGGAUACUGCGGGACUUGAGAUCGGGAGAGGGAAGCGGAAUUCCGGGUGUAGCGGUGAAAUGCGUAGAUAUCCGGAGGAACACCGGUGGCGAAGGCGGCUUCCUGGACCGACACUGACGCUGAGGCGCGAAAGCUAGGGGAGCAAACGGGAUUAGAUACCCCGGUAGUCCUAGCUGUAAACGAUGAGUGCUGGGUGUAGGGGGUAUUAACCCUCCUGUGCCGAAGCUAACGCAUUAAGCACUCCGCCUGGGGAGUACGGUCGCAAGGCUG